GAUGAACGCUGGCGGCGUGCCUAAUACAUGCAAGUCGAGCGAACAGACGAGGAGCUUGCUCCUCUGACGUUAGCGGCGGACGGGUGAGUAACACGUGGAUAACCUACCUAUAAGACUGGGAUAACUUCGGGAAACCGGAGCUAAUACCGGAUAAUAUAUUGAACCGCAUGGUUCAAUAGUGAAAGACGGUUUUGCUGUCACUUAUAGAUGGAUCCGCGCCGCAUUAGCUAGUUGGUAAGGUAACGGCUUACCAAGGCAACGAUGCGUAGCCGACCUGAGAGGGUGAUCGGCCACACUGGAACUGAGACACGGUCCAGACUCCUACGGGAGGCAGCAGUAGGGAAUCUUCCGCAAAGGGCGAAAGCCUGACGGAGCAACGCCGCGUGAGUGAUGAAGGUCUUCGGAUCGUAAAACUCUGUUAUUAGGGAAGAACAAAUGUGUAAGUAACUAUGCACGUCUUGACGGUACCUAAUCAGAAAGCCUCGGCUAACUACGUG
RNAcentral lists this ribosomal RNA (497 nucleotides) under uncultured bacterium. RNAcentral's name for it is "partial 16S ribosomal RNA". It matches the Rfam family "Bacterial small subunit ribosomal RNA", at positions 28 to 507 of the family's 1533-position model. The record is from RNAcentral.